This 253-nucleotide ribosomal RNA is filed under the name uncultured bacterium. RNAcentral's name for it is "partial 16S ribosomal RNA". It matches the Rfam family "Bacterial small subunit ribosomal RNA", at positions 524 to 776 of the family's 1533-position model. The record is from RNAcentral.
UACAGAGGUGGCAAGCGUUGUUCGGAUUUAUUGGGCGUAAAGGGUCCGUAGGCGGUUUGGUAAGUCGGGUGUGAAAUCCUACAGCUUAACUGUAGAACUGCAUUCGAAACUGCCAGACUAGAGUAUGAGAGGAGUUAAGGGAAUUCCCGGUGUAAGGGUGAAAUCUGCAGAGAUCGGGAGGAACACCAGUCGCGAAGGCGCUUAACUGGCUCAUUACUGACGCUCAGGGACGAAAGCUAGGGUAGCAAACGGG